This 492-nucleotide ribosomal RNA is filed under the name uncultured bacterium. Its description in RNAcentral is "partial 16S ribosomal RNA". It matches the Rfam family "Bacterial small subunit ribosomal RNA", at positions 28 to 523 of the family's 1533-position model. The record is from RNAcentral.
GAUGAACGCUAGCGGCAGGCUUAACACAUGCAAGUCGAGGGGUAUAGUAGCAAUACUAGAGACCGGCGCACGGGUGCGUAACGCGUAUGCAAUCUACCUUUCACAGAGGGAUAGCCCAGAGAAAUUUGGAUUAAUACCUCAUAGUAUAGUAUCUUGGCAUCAAGGAACUAUUAAAGUCACAACGGUGAAAGAUGAGCAUGCGUCCCAUUAGUUAGUUGGUAAGGUAACGGCUUACCAAGACUACGAUGGGUAGGGGUCCUGAGAGGGAGAUCCCCCACACUGGUACUGAGACACGGACCAGACUCCUACGGGAGGCAGCAGUGAGGAAUAUUGGACAAUGGGCGCAAGCCUGAUCCAGCCAUGCCGCGUGCAGGAUGACGGUCCUAUGGAUUGUAAACUGCUUUUGUACAGGAAGAAACACCCCGACGUGUCGGGACUUGACGGUACUGUAAGAAUAAGGAUCGGCUAACUCCGUGCCAGCCGCCGCAGUAA